Molecule: long non-coding RNA, 1542 nt
Organism: Lucilia cuprina (Australian sheep blowfly)
Lineage: Eukaryota; Metazoa; Arthropoda; Insecta; Diptera; Calliphoridae
Exons: 3
Source: RefSeq, a predicted model, not a curated record
GGGUACCCCAAACAAAUCAAUGUUACGUACUGUUUCACUUAAUACAAUUAAAGCUUAUUGCACGAGAAAAAAACGCGGCAUAAUGAAUUCAAAAUUUAAAAAACAAACAAAACAAAUUUGAGAAUAUUUUCAAGGUUAAAGAAUGAUAAUUUGCAAAAUUAAAAAAUUAAACUUAAAUUUAAAAAGCUUUUCAACUUAUACAAGUUUGAGGCAAACAUGUUCGAAGAUGGCAGUGUUGUCAAGCAAUCCUCAGAAUCAACAUACGAAUCAGUGAACCUUUAAACCCUGAAUAAUUCCUGAGUUUUCAAUGGUUCUCUACCAGUAAACUUAAAGAGUUUCAGUAUUAACUACCAGAUCAAAAACGCUGGUCUCGACCAGGUAAAACGACAGCAAGAGACUGAGGCAGGCAAUUUAUAAGUGCACAAAGUAAUGCAGUACACAAGUGCAAGUUAGACCAAACAACAAACACAAGCCUGACCUACCGUCCUUUAAAAAUAAAUGGCGAUGACGUGAAAGGUGUUCUCUAUCAUAUUCGAUGACACAAAAGUUAUUCUCAAUCUUAGGCCCGAAGGUGUGAAAUUUUUUGUUGAAAUUUUGUAAACAAUGAACAGCUGUUGUAAACAAAAUCAACAAUUGUGAAUUAAUUAUAUGUAUGAAUGUGUUUUAUGUAAAAUUAUAUUUCGGGAUUAGAAUGAAUAAAGAAAAUAUCUCACCUAGAUUUUAUAUAGUGUGACAAAGGAAACUCAUUACUGAACCUAACCUAAAGUUAAUCGAGCAAUUUGAGUUCUAUUCUAAGAACUAAUCUAUGAUCAUAUCAAAUUUUACUAAAAACCGCAUUUGUGUUGUUGUAACAGAUUUAUUGUGACUAGAUGUUCUUCCCAGGGUUACUGAUUUGUCAAUUUUAGACAGAUUAAGAAUCUGGUCAUUCCGUAGCAGAGAUUCAAUUGUUGUAAGAACGGCAAUCCUUCUUUGUGUCUGAAGGGAUGACGAAAUUUUACACGAAAUAAAAACUCACCAAAACAUUAUUUAAUGGAAUCAAAAAUUUACUAAUUUUCUUUAAUAUGAAUUUAAUUCUCCUAACCCAUAGGAAAUUAAAUUUUUAUUAACUUCUAUUGCCAAUAGGAGUAAAAUUUUUGUUGCCAUACAAUUUUCAUUCCGCUCGAAGUGAAAAUUGCUAUCUGUGAACUUGCUGUGAACAAUUAAUUCACAAUAGUUCUCUUUUCUCUUUAUUUAUUUACUAACAUUGUUCACUUCAAAAAACUCAGCUCGAUUUAAAAUUUUUCAAAGCAAUUUUGUAAACAAUAAACUGCUGUUGCGAAAAAAAUUUACUAUUGUGAAUGACAGUCAACUAGAAUAGUAUGUAUUACUAUAGCAAUGUUCUCCUUGAGGGAAAAAACAAUUGUAUGGUAAAUUUCACAUUGUUUUGCCAGUGGGGUGAUUGUUUCAGAUUUAUGUUGAAAUUUUCAGUAAAAAAAACAUUUUUUUUGUAAAUAUUAUUGUUUAUAAACAUUUUAAUUUCUCUAAACUUUUACAUAAAAUUUC